Vibrio harveyi is the source of this 102-nucleotide non-coding RNA. Lineage: Bacteria; Pseudomonadati; Pseudomonadota; Gammaproteobacteria; Vibrionales; Vibrionaceae. The record is from Rfam.
GGAGGAACCUCUGGAGAGAACCGUUAAAUCGGUCGCCGAAGGAGCAAGUCCUGCACAUUUGUGUAGGGUGAAACUCUCAGGCAAAAGGACAGAGGAGUGGAA